Oncorhynchus tshawytscha (Chinook salmon) is the source of this 675-nucleotide long non-coding RNA. RefSeq lists it as uncharacterized. The record is from RefSeq and is a predicted model, not a curated record. The transcript is spliced from 2 exons. NCBI's taxonomy places the organism in Eukaryota, Metazoa, Chordata, Actinopteri, Salmoniformes, Salmonidae.
GGACCUCCGUUCAUUUGAACUCAGUCACUACUAUACAGUAGAUGGGGAAAUUAUUUCUAGUGAUAUAAUAUGUAACCAUUGUAUCUUGUUAUUAACCAUAUCUUCUUUACAGUUCAGGUGCUGAGAUACAUCAGCUCUACAGACUCUAUCUGGUUCAUUGAACAUUAUUGAGAACUGAAAUGGAAACCGUCAACAACCCAGAGAUCUUGAGGGACUUCACUGAACGGUGACCAUCCUCCAAGAUUGAAAGAGACGAUCAGUAGACACAGCUAUAAGAAUAUUGUAAAGAUAAAUACACAACUCAGAGGAUGAGAGGACAAGAGCACUAGAUUACUAAUGGUCAAUAGCGAAUUGUAAAUAGGAGUUGGGUUUCAGUUCAACAUCUUUUAAGGAUCUGUGGAAUGUCACUCCUGAAUUCACGUGUACUACGUGUGCCACAUUUUCAUUGGUCUGUACAUUGAGUCAGGGGCAGGAUACUUGUUAUUGGCCAAGUUGUACUGCAAGGACUUCUGAUUGGUCAACCCCAGGCUAGGGUGGGGGGUUAUAAAUGGCAUCCUGUUCCUUUGUUUGGUGGUGAAAAGCUGAGGACAGGGGAGACUGAACAUCUGAACAUCUAUCUCCCAGCAUAACAUCUUGAUUUGUCCUCUAUGAAUAAACCCAUUUUUCUCCCCCUGA